GUGAGCAGGGGAGGGGCGAAGGAGAGGAAGAGAGAGAAUCUUAAGUGGGCUCCAUGACCAGCAUGGAGCUGGUAGCAGGCUUGAGAUCAUGACCUGAGCCCAGAUCAAGAGUUGGAUCCUUAACUGAGUGAGCCACUCAGGAGCCCCAGGAAAUGUGGCUUUUUGGUCAUGCGUAUAUGUCAUCAAAUUCAACCUUUUUUUUCUGUUUUCGUUGUAGAGUGGCCUUUUGUACAGUGGCCAGUCAAGUUUAUAAAUUCCUUCUGCAUCAAGACCUGUGGAUGUUAGAAUGGACAGAUUGGUACCUUUUCUUUCAAAGAAGCCCCAAACAUGUCCUAAUGUGUUAAAUUUUCAUAACCUUUGGUUAGGGUUGGUGGCAGGGCACAUCACUCUUCCCUUCAGCUCCUCUCCAUCGCCUGGCUUUCCGUGCUGUCCUGGCUAAUGAACUCUGAGCACAAAAGACAUGUCACUUCCAGCCGAGGAUCGUAAUUAAGGAUCCAGAAAUUGAUGUUAAUCCAGAACUGCAUAGAGUCCUGUACCUAUGUAGGAACUUCUGAGUAAAUGGAAACUGUUCCUGUCUACAGAAAACAGAGGCAUGCAUUUUGUGAUUUUCUUAGCUACAGUGAAUGUCAGCUCUGACUUCAUUCUGGUGUCACACAUUGUCCAUACCAUCUCUGAAUCUUCUGAAAGGUGGAGAGCUUAGUGGCAAAUACUAUUAAUUUUGAUCUUAGUGGAAAAUACAGUUAGCCAGUGGUUGGUCAAGGGGUUCAACCCUGUAGUUUGGGAUUUUAUUUAAAGUUCUUUUUUUGGUCUUAUAUAAAAAAUGCUCAACUUAAGAACAUCCCGUUACGGGUUAUGCAGAAGCAUGACAAAAUGUACAGAGGUAUUGUGAAUUCUAAGGGAAGUUUCAUAUUAUGUAGUCUUGACAUAAGGGAAAAAAAUGUGGAUG
Acinonyx jubatus (cheetah) is the source of this 946-nucleotide long non-coding RNA. RefSeq lists it as uncharacterized. The record is from RefSeq and is a predicted model, not a curated record. Lineage: Eukaryota; Metazoa; Chordata; Mammalia; Carnivora; Felidae. The transcript has 3 exons.